GACGAACGCUGGCGGCGUGCCUAAUACAUGCCAGUUGAGCGCUGAAGGUUGGUACUUGUACCGACUGGAUGAGCAGCGAACGGGUGAGUAACGCGUGGGGAAUCUGCCUUUGAGCGGGGGACAACAUUUGGAAACGAAUGCUAAUACCGCAUAAAAACUUUAAACACAAGUUUUAAGUUUGAAAGAUGCAAUUGCAUCACUCAAGGAUGAUCCCGCGUUGUAUUAGCUAGUUGGUGAGGUAAAGGCUCACCAAGGCGAUGAUACAUAGCCGACCUGAGAGGGUGAUCGGCCACAUUGGGACUGAGACACGGCCCAAACUCCUACGGGAGGCAGCAGUAGGGAAUCUUCGGCAAUGGACGAAAGUCUGACCGAGCAACGCCGCGUGAGUGAAGAAGGUUUUCGGAUCGUAAAACUCUGUUGGUAGAGAAGAACGUUGGUGAGAGUGGAAAGCUCAUCAAGUGACGGUAACUACCCAGAAAGGGACGGCUAACUACGUG
RNAcentral lists this ribosomal RNA (497 nucleotides) under uncultured bacterium. RNAcentral's name for it is "partial 16S ribosomal RNA". It matches the Rfam family "Bacterial small subunit ribosomal RNA", at positions 28 to 507 of the family's 1533-position model. The record is from RNAcentral.